Molecule: long non-coding RNA, 3450 nt
Filed under: Gossypium barbadense (sea-island cotton)
Lineage: Eukaryota; Viridiplantae; Streptophyta; Magnoliopsida; Malvales; Malvaceae
Description: long non-coding RNA (GBAR_LNC011025)
Source: RNAcentral
UUGACCAGGUGGUGGUGGUGUCCUAUUGAAGAGGUAACCAUUGGGCCGUUCUUGGUGACCGGGCGUCGUCCACCGGCUUGGACCAUCGUGGGAGGAGAAGGACCGGGAGAAGAGUCGGCGGCGGAGCAUGUUGGUCAAAGCCAUCGUGGUGGUGGUGGCGAUGGUAGAAGCCUAGCCUUGAAAGAUCAAGGAUAAAUUCGGGGGGACUCGCUUUAGGGAUUUUAUUUGGUUAGUUAUUUACUUAGCUUCCUGAUAGUGAGAAAUGCUCUCUACACGACAUCGUUUAAUGUUUGGCCUAAGCCAAAAUAAAAAUGUAAAUCCACCUGUUAGUACAUUUAUUAUUCAAUGAAUCAGUUCAAUUUAUGUAAUAUUCAAAAUAUAAAAAAGAAAAUCAAAUUUCAACAGAUUUACAUAGCUAUAUUUUUUAAGAAUUUAUUAUUCUACAAAUGAAAUAUUUUUUUUGGAAUUGAAUAAUAAAUAAAAAAUAUUUUUUAUGUCAUUUUUUAAAUUAUAAAUAUUAAACAUAUUCAAGUUUCAUCUUUAAUAAUACCGAAAAUCAUCAAGCAACUUGGUGAUGGUAUACCCACUCAAAGAGAGCCCUAAGGUAACAAAGUAUGUCAAUGUAAAGAAUUUACAUGAUCAAAUGCUUCAAACUUCUUCACUUGUUGACCAUAUAAGAAGAAUCUCGAUUUCUCCUGCAACUAAUUGAGCUAGGUCACGCAUUAUGAAUCGGGAUUUUACUUUACUAUAUAUUUGAAAAAGACUAAAUUUUGAAAAAUAUUGAGCUCCAAUAUCUUUACUCCAUAGUUUAGCUUCUUCUUUUUCUGUCUUCCAUAACAAACUCAUGUAUUCUUCUUUAAAGCAUCGCAAACACUGCCAUAACUUCAUGUGCAGAUUGGCACUCAAACAGUAUAUAGAUCAAGUUUAAAGAAUCAAAAUAUUAUUUAAAUGGCACUCAAAUUGUUAGCUUUGUGUUCAAAGAAAGCUUUAAUCUACAAUAUCAUUUAAGUGAAGUUCUCUUUUCAGGUUUGGGUUAUAGUUACUGCAGUAUAGCACGGCCUUAGCACCAUGGUGUUAGAGCAUAAGCCAACAGAUAGAAUCACUUAAACUGAAAGCCAAUAACAUGUUUGGUCCGAUUGAUAUCUUUAAACCAACAAAGGGAUGGGGUAACAAGAAAGAAAGUAGAUGGUAGUGUGGAAUGAGAAGAUGAUCGUUUUCAUUUCAUUGAUUGAAGUAUUCGUAUCUGACACCUAUAUCCAAACAAAAAUGCGAGGAUGGAAAAUCCUCUAACAUUUUCCCCUACUCCUAAAUUCUCAAUCACAAUUCUAUCAAGUAAAAUAGUCUUUUCCUCCGUACCAUACAUGUCAAACACAAGUAUAUUCAAAAUUCUUAUUCCCAUGCCACAUAUAGGAUGGAUACAAGUACUCAAAAAACCGAAGAAUCGAAGCUAUCACAAUCCUAUUGGUCAAUAAUCCUUCAUUAUACUAACUACUAAAUGCUUAACACUAAUGUAUGGCCCUUCACAUAUAACAAUAACAUAAAUCAUUCUUUUUUUUUUCCCCUUCUUUGUACCAUAAGCAUCAUUGAUAAAAACCAAGUAGAAUACAACUUACAUAUUGCCUCAAUAAACUAAAUAGUAAUAAUACCUUAAAAGAGAUCCCAUCCCAACAGCCAUAAGGGGUCAACUGAUAACCCGUCUUUCCCUAAUACUAUCCUUGUGUAACUUCUACCAUUCGGAACCUUUACGGAUAUACCAUAUUCAUUUACUCCAUAAUACUACCUCUAGUCAAAUGUUGGGUUCUUAAUUUACUAAAGAACUGAUAUUUUCUUCAAACCUAUUGAAAGGACCAACAAGUUAAGCACUAGGGUAAACUAGCUAGAGUACAGUUUUUCUAAGAUAUUCCAUGUCUGUAAUGAUAGCAUUAGGGCAUAAGCAUAUCAAUAAACCCAAUUUAUUCCCAAAUUCUUCUGAACAUCCAUUGAAACUCGAUAAAAUAUUAGAUUAUGAACAGAAACAGGCUAAUGACUUCAUCAUCGUCAUCGAAAGCAUAAAUCCAAUUAAAAAACCCAUAAAAUUUCAACAACUACAAACCCUUUGAACAACACAUUUAUCAACAGAAAAUACAACCUACCAAAAGGACCAGCAAGUUAAGCACAAAACUAACUACAACACAAUUCUUCUAAGAUAUUCCAUAUUUAUAGGGAUAGCUUUAGGGCACUAGCAUAUCAACGUAUUGCAAAUAAACCCAACUUAUUUUCAAAUUCUUCUGAACAUCCAUUGAAACUUGAUAAGUAAAUAUCAGAUUAUGAACAGAAACAAGCUAAUGAAUUCAUUAUCGUCAUUGAAAGCAUAAAUCCAAUUAAAAACACAUAAAAUUUCAACAACUACAAACCGUUUGAACAACACAUUUAUCAACAGAAAAUAGAACCUACCAAAAGGACCAGCAAGUUAAACACUAAAUUAACUACAGACAAUUCUUCUAAGAAAUUCCAUUUUUGUAAGGAUAGCAUUAAGGCAGUAGCAUAUCAACACAUUGCAAAUAAACCCAACUUAUUUUCAAAUUCUUCUGAACAUUAGACUAUGAUCAGAAACAAGCCAAUGAUUUCUUCAUCAUCGAAUGCGUAAAUCCAACUAAAAAAAGCCAUAAAAAUUUAACUACAAAUCCUUCACCCGUUACAAAAGAAAAAAAAAAUCCAAUUUUUGUUUAAACAGCACAUUUUAUAAACAGCAAACUGAAAUUUUCUUAGAAACUACCCAAAAGGACCAGAACGUUAAGCCCUAAACUAACUACUGUACCAUUUUUCUAUGAAAUUCCAUAUUUAUAAGGAUAAUUUUAGGGCAAUGGCAUAUCAAUACAGGAUCAAUAAACCUAAUUUAUUUUCAAAAUCUUUUGAACAUCCAUUGAAACUCGAUAAGUAAAUAUUAGACAACGAUCCCAAAUAAGCCAACGACUUCAUCAUCAUCAUCGAAAACGUAAAAUUAAAAACCCAUAAAAUUUCAACAACUAAAAGUGUUAAAAAAAAAAAGAACCCGUCUUUUUAUUCGAACUACACAUUGAAAUCAAAAGCGUUCGCAAAGAUCCGUACCCCAGAUCCCGGUCGAAAUUUGCUUCAAAACAUCUCAGUCAGAAGAAGAAGAAGACGACUCGGCAGCUAGUUUUUCAAGGGCUUUCUGAUGUGCCCAAGUCUCGAUAGUGAGAUCGGGCUUGGCGUUGAGACCAACACCGAGGAUGACGAUGGUAAGGAAGCUCGUGACGUAGCAAGGCAACUCCCAAUCUUCCCAUUUACGGGAUUGGCCCGGAGGUGGUGGGGUCCUGUUGAAGAGGUAACCAUUGGGUCGUUCCUGGUGACCGGGCGACGUCCACCGGCUUGGACCGUCGUGGGAGGAGAAAGCCCGGGAAAAGAGUCGGCGGCGGAGCAUGGUGGUCAAGGCCAUCGUAGUAGUGGUGG